Long non-coding RNA from Oryctolagus cuniculus (rabbit), 2321 nucleotides. RefSeq lists it as uncharacterized. Lineage: Eukaryota; Metazoa; Chordata; Mammalia; Lagomorpha; Leporidae. The record is from RefSeq and is a predicted model, not a curated record.
GCUUGCGGCGGCGGGGGAAGAUGGUGGAGGACGGCGCGGAGGAGCUGGAGGACCUGGUGCACUUCUCAGUCUCCGAGUUGCCCAGCCGCGGCUACGGCGUCAUGGAGGAGAUCCGGCGGCAGGGCAAGCUGUGCGACGUGACACUCAAGGGCUGCAAGACGCAAAGGCCACGAGAAGAGGAGGAGCUUCCUGCAGCUGGCCAGACUGAGCAACUGUGUAAAACUUAACUUCAUGGGACUGCUGUGUUGUCUUUGGAUUCCACUUCACACAGGACAUGCGUGUUUGCUUAACGGGCCCACUGUAGGCAGCUGGAUCCCCCAGCAGGGAGAAGAAAGAAAAACCAGGAACAGGUUCUAAGUGCCUGGGGGUCUUCACAAAACUGGUGUUUUCCCUAUUAUUAAAGUACAAGUCCCAGCUGCUCCACUUCCGAGCCAGCUCUCUGCUAUGGCCCAAGUCCUUCGGCCCCCGCACUAGCAUGGGAGACCUGGAAGAAGCUCCUGGCUCCUGGCUUAGGAUUGGCACAACUCCAGCCAUUGUAGCCAUCUGGGGAGUGAACCAGUGGAUGGAAGACCUCUCUCUCUUUCUCUCGCUGCCUCUCUGUAACUCUGCUUUUCAAAUAAAUAAAUAAAUCUCUUAAAAAAUGAAUUAUGGCUAGGAUUAUAUUAUAUGUAUAUCUUACUGUAUUUGUCAGAAAAUUUCCAAGUUAACAUAUUUUUUAAAAACUUUCAUUAUAAAUAAAAAUUUUUUAGAAGAUUUAUUUAUUUGAAAGGCAGAGUGACAGAGAGAUCUUCCACCUGCUGGUUCACUCCCCAAAUAGCACAAUGGCCAGGACUGUGCCAGGCUCGUGCCAGCAGCAUGGAACUUCCUCUGGGUCUCCCAUGUGGGUGCAGGGGCCCAGGUAGUCGGGCCAUCCUCUGCUGCUUUCCCAGGUGCAUUAGCAGGGAGCUGGGUCAGAAGCAGAGCAGCCAGGACAUGCACUGGCAUCCACAUGGGAUGCUGGCUCCAAAGGCAGCGGCCUAACCCGAUGUGCCGCAGUGCUGUCCCCUACAGACUCUCUUGCUGGCUACCUCUCCUUCCGUUGAUGGAUGCACCCUAUUUUUCUUAACCAGUUCCUUGAAGGUAAUUAGGUGGGGAUGAAGGGUGCCUCUGUUUUACAGCCAGCGGACAAUUUCAUUUGUCAGACAGCUGGCUACUUCUGGGGUAGCAUUUGCUGUGGGGCAACACUUCGCUUGCGCACAAACUUUCUUCUGUCGUUUCCUCGAUAGACAGAAGCCAGACAGCUGCCCUCCAGGCUGGGUCUUCCGCUGGAUGGGCUGCAGGUUUCACCCAGCCCUACAGAACCAGGCUCUCUUGGCCUCACUUCAUCUCCCACCCCUGCAGGGUGGGCACUGCUGCUGGGAUUUCCCGCAUGCAGCGUGCAGACUCCCAGGAGGGGACCCUGCCAGACUGAGUGCUGCCGACAAGGCAGGGAGCCCACGCGGAGGCUACCAGAUGUGAAUCUGCAUCCCAGCUCUUCCGCCCGUGCACUGUGAGCACAUUACUGAACCUCAGAGUGUGAGCUUUUUUCUAUUUAUAAAGAUUUAUAUAUUUAUUUGAAAGGCAGAGUGAUAGGGAGAGAAGAUCUUCGAUCUGCUGGGCCACUCCCCAAAUGUCUGCAACUGCUGGGGCUGCGCCAGGUUGAAGCCAGGAGCCCAGAGUUCCCUGUGGGUCCAAGCACUUGGGCCAUCUGCGGCUGCUUUCCCAGGUGCAUUAGCAGGGAGCUGGAUCGAAAUUGGAGCAGCCGGGACUGGGCCAGGCGCUCUGAUAGGGAAUGCUGGCAUUGCAAGCAACAGCUCACUGUGCGCAACAGCGGCCCCAGAGCUCGGGUUUCUUCACAUUCGUGAGAGAGUAAUUUGUACCCUCUCGAGUUUCAUGGACAUUAAAAUGAGAUAAACAGGUGAACCCACUGAGCCCAGUUUGAUGAGCUUAGUUAAAGCAGCGACAGAGACUGCUCUCCACCCCAAAGGAAUGAUCAGUUUUCUCUCCAACUGCUCUGUUUUAUUAGAAGUUUUAUCCUCUUGGCAAAAACACUCUUCCAAGUCAUACUGGGAUCAGCCAGCUGGUCAGUCCAGCAGCCCUGAGGCUUUACUGGCCUACUUCUCUGGGCUGACCUAUCCUCUUGUUCAAGACCUGUCAGCUUCCCCUAGGACAAAGCAAGACAAUCAUGCAGAAACGGUCCUCCCUCCUUGUACCACACGUCCUCACGUUCGUUUAUUUCAUCCACAUCCGCUACUCCAUGCAGUGGGAUGGUGCUCAUUAAAGACUGAAAUACUGCUCUGGGA